UACGAAGGGGGCUAGCGUUGCUCGGAAUGACUGGGCGUAAAGGGCGCGUAGGCGGCGAUGUAAGUCAGACGUGAAAUUCCUGGGCUCAACCUGGGGACUGCGUUUGAGACUGUGUUGCUAGAGGAUGGAAGAGGCUCGUGGAAUUCCCAGUGUAGAGGUGAAAUUCGUAGAUAUUGGGAAGAACACCGGUGGCGAAGGCGGCGAGCUGGUCCAUUACUGACGCUGAGGCGCGAUAGCGUGGGGAGCAAACAGG
RNAcentral lists this ribosomal RNA (253 nucleotides) under uncultured bacterium. RNAcentral's name for it is "partial 16S ribosomal RNA". It matches the Rfam family "Bacterial small subunit ribosomal RNA", at positions 524 to 776 of the family's 1533-position model. The record is from RNAcentral.